CCUACGGGUGACAGCAGUGGGGAAUAUUGGGCAAUGGGGGAAACCCUGAUCCAGCGACGCCGCGUGAGGGAAGAAGUAUUUCGGUACGUAAAGCUCUGUCAGCAGGAAAGAAAGUGACGGUACCUGACUAAGAAGCACCGGCUAACUACGGGCCAGCAGCCGCGGGAAUACGUAGGGGGCGAGCGUUAGGCGGAUUUACUGGGGGUAAGGGGAGCGGAGACGGCAGGGCAAGUCUGGAGUGAAAUGCCGGGGCCCAACCUCGGAACUGCUCUUGAAACUGUGAAGCUGGAGUGCAGGAGAGGUAAGCGGAAUUCCUGGUGUAGCGGUGAAAUGCGUAGAUAUCAGGAGGAACACCGGCGGCGAAGGCGGCUUACUGGACUGUAACUGACGUUGAGGCUCGAAGGCGUGGGGAGCAAACAGGAUUAGAUACCCUAGUAGUC
RNAcentral lists this ribosomal RNA (440 nucleotides) under uncultured bacterium. RNAcentral's name for it is "partial 16S ribosomal RNA". It matches the Rfam family "Bacterial small subunit ribosomal RNA", at positions 338 to 795 of the family's 1533-position model. The record is from RNAcentral.